Molecule: long non-coding RNA, 2386 nt
Organism: Haemorhous mexicanus (house finch)
Lineage: Eukaryota; Metazoa; Chordata; Aves; Passeriformes; Fringillidae
Exons: 2
Source: RefSeq, a predicted model, not a curated record
CGGCGGCUUUUCGCGCCCCUCUCCUGUCCCGGGACACUCACAGGACUGCUCGGCGCCGAGAGAGGCUUCACCGCGGCCGAGAAGAGUUUUGUACCUGCCCGCGUCUCCCGCAGGACGCCGAGCGAGGCUGUGGCCCUGUGCGGUGGGGGGUUCGAGCGUGGCCGUUCCCUGCCGGAGUAGCGGAGGGACGCCGCGGGGCCUCGCGUGUGCCCCACCACCCUCCCGCCGAGGAGUGCUGCAUCCUGGCAAGGCGUCCCUUGUGGCUCGGAUCUCAGAAGAGAGAGGUCCUUGUGGUUAUUGAGGGGAAAUUCUUCACUGUGAGGGUGGUGAGGAACUGGAACAGGUCCCCCAGAGAAGCUGUGGAUGCCUCAUCCCUGGAAGUGUUCCAGGAACUUUUGGGAUAAGAUGAUCUUUAAGGUCCCUUCCAACUCAAACCAUUUUAUGAUUCUAUGAAUAGUGGUCUCCCCAGCAGAACUUGCUUCUUCUCCAGUGUCAUAUACUGUCCUAUAACCAGUAUGAUAUGCUUUAAACUAAGUCAGACUUAACUGAAAGCGGUAGCUGCCAAUGAGAGUGGGUAUGAGAAGUGACUAAAGAGAUAAUACUGCAAUCUGUGCAGGCUUGGGAUAAUUUUUUUGGCUUUGAGUAUCACUACUUGUCUGUUCAUUCACCAACUUCUCUUAAUUGUGGUACAUAAGAUGUACUGAAUAGAAGUGACACUUUCUGGAAAAAGCUGUCCAGGCUGUGCCCUUGCUCUGAGGGACUGAUUAGCUUCACCUCAGGACAUAAGCACAUACAAGGAAGUCUGGCAGGGAUCCUCAAGAGUCCUGAAAUACAGAGCUGGUCGUGGCCUGCAGAUCCGUAGAAUGGUUUCAGAUGGGAAGGAAUUUAAAGAUAAUCUAGUUCCAACACCGCUGCCGUGGGCAGGGACACCUUCCUCUAGUUGCUCAGAGUCCCAUCCCAACCUGGCCUUGAGCACUUCCGGGGACGGAGUAUCCACAGCUUCUCUGGAUAACCCAUCCAGUUCUCCAUCACCUUCACAGUAAAGAAUGUCUUCCUAACAUCGAAUACAAGCCUAGGAUUUAAGGACUGUGGCCCGCAUGGGGAUCUCGGGUGUUGUCCUAGAUGGGCAGCAGCGGGCAGCCUCAGGUGCCGAAGUCGGCUGUCCUGCCCGCGCUGCCCGCCGCGCUCCCGCAGGCGCCGCCGGCUGCCUGUACCGCGCAUGCUCCGCCCGGCCGCGCCUCGGCCCAAGGGAGCUGGCCUGGCCCAGCGCCUUUAAAUGCCUCUGGCUGCCUAAUGGAGCUACAGCCGCUGAACUUGUCCCCAGGUUUUUGCCAGGAAACUUGUGAGUCCGCGAAGCCUGGCCCAGUGGCUGUUCACAUAGCUUUAAAAGCUGACCAAAGUAGUUACCAAGGUCUUCCCCCCCCCCCCCCCCCGCCAGUCUGCUAUUCUUUUGAGGUAGCCCGGUUAAAGUGUUAGUAGUGAUGACUGAUAGACUAAUGGCUAAGAGAUGGCCUGAAACAACACCAAGAGACAUCCCAGAAGAAAACCAGGAAAUUUCACCAGCUGGAUCUGAAUUUUUUUUAAGGAUAUCUGUAGGGAUUGAGAAAGGAAAAAAACCCAAAACACAAAACCAGAAGUAAAAAUGUCUAACAAUCCCCAAUUCAAGUGUUGCCUUUUGGAUUAACAAGACAAAAAUCAAAGGUUCUGGACUAGGAAAAAAAAAAAAGACUCUGGAAAAAAAUUGCAGGGAAAGGAAUGGCAGGAAAACAGGAAACCUUUGGCUUGAUUGUAAUUUCCUAUUCAAACAGCUGGAACUAGGUCCAAAGGAGCUAAAAAUAAACUCCAGAAGGAAAUCCAAGUUCCCAUGCCCUGGUGAAAAUCAGCAACCACGAUGAGGAGUUAAGACAGAAACUUUUUCUAAUAACACGCAAUUCUACAUGCUUCUAUUCUGUUUAUAGCCAGGAGAGGGGGGGAUUACCUAGCUAAAGCAAUAUCAACAUCUGCUCUGUGGAGGAAAAAAAAAGUACUGGUUGAAAAUAACUUGACUGUCCAAAUGGAGUGCUGGAAGAUGUAAGAGCAAAGGGUAUUUCUGGGCACUACAUAUGGGCACAGGGCUUAUGGCAGCUUAUAGUUUAUUUCCAGAUUAUAAAGCUAAUUUAUCAGAUCUCUUAUGAACCCUUAGCAUAUAAAGUGGCAACACCUAUCUUAAUCAGCUCUCUAGAAGCAAAUGCUAGAAGUGGAGAAAGAAGAAAUUCUAUCUGGCUUGUUAGAGGACUUGCAAAGAUUUUUGUUUAGUGUGUAUAAAUACAUCUAUAAAUCCAACCAAGUACCAGAGGACCAGACUCUGGACUGACCAUUUCAUCAAUACAAGUGAAUGCAAGUGUUA